Molecule: transfer RNA, 71 nt
Filed under: Apteronotus rostratus
Lineage: Eukaryota; Metazoa; Chordata; Actinopteri; Gymnotiformes; Apteronotidae
Description: tRNA-Gly
Rfam family: tRNA
About the family: Transfer RNA (tRNA) molecules are approximately 80 nucleotides in length. Their secondary structure includes four short double-helical elements and three loops (D, anti-codon, and T loops). Further hydrogen bonds mediate the characteristic L-shaped molecular structure. tRNAs have two regions of fundamental functional importance: the anti-codon, which is responsible for specific mRNA codon recognition, and the 3' end, to which the tRNAs corresponding amino acid is attached (by aminoacyl-tRNA synthetases). tRNAs cope with the degeneracy of the genetic code in two manners: having more than one tRNA (with a specific anti-codon) for a particular amino acid; and 'wobble' base-pairing, i.e. permitting non-standard base-pairing at the 3rd anti-codon position.
Source: RNAcentral
AUCUUUCUAGUAUCUAAAUAGUACAGGUGUCUUCCAAACACUCAGUCUUGGUUAAAAUCCAAGGAAAGAUA